This 468-nucleotide ribosomal RNA is filed under the name uncultured bacterium. RNAcentral describes it as "partial 16S ribosomal RNA". It matches the Rfam family "Bacterial small subunit ribosomal RNA", at positions 28 to 507 of the family's 1533-position model. The record is from RNAcentral.
GACGAACGCUGGCGGCGUGCCUAACACAUGCAAGUCGAACGGAAAGGCCCUGCUUUUGUGGGGUGCUCGAGUGGCGAACGGGUGAGUAACACGUGAGUAACCUGCCCUUGACUUUGGGAUAACUUCAGGAAACUGGGGCUAAUACCGGAUAGGAGCUCCUGCUGCAUGGUGGGGGUUGGAAAGUUUCGGCGGUUGGGGAUGGACUCGCGGCUUAUCAGCUUGUUGGUGGGGUAGUGGCUUACCAAGGCUUUGACGGGUAGCCGGCCUGAGAGGGUGACCGGCCACAUUGGGACUGAGAUACGGCCCAGACUCCUACGGGAGGCAGCAGUGGGGAAUAUUGCACAAUGGGCGGAAGCCUGAUGCAGCAACGCCGCGUGCGGGAUGACGGCCUUCGGGUUGUAAACCGCUUUCGCCUGUGACGAAGCGUGAGUGACGGUAAUGGGUAAAGAAGCAACGGCUAACUACGUG